AUUUAUAUAGUUUAAAAAACAUUACAUUUUCACUGUAAAAAUAAAGAAAUAAAUUAAUUUCUUUUAUAAAUU
Molecule: transfer RNA, 72 nt
Filed under: Thienemanniella majuscula
Lineage: Eukaryota; Metazoa; Arthropoda; Insecta; Diptera; Chironomidae
Description: tRNA-Glu
Source: RNAcentral